Molecule: ribosomal RNA, 934 nt
Filed under: Escherichia coli
Lineage: Bacteria; Pseudomonadati; Pseudomonadota; Gammaproteobacteria; Enterobacterales; Enterobacteriaceae
Description: partial 23S ribosomal RNA
Rfam family: Bacterial large subunit ribosomal RNA
Source: RNAcentral
GGAAAGGCGCGCGAUACAGGGUGACAGCCCCGUACACAAAAAUGCACAUGCUGUGAGCUCGAUGAGUAGGGCGGGACACGUGGUAUCCUGUCUGAAUAUGGGGGGACCAUCCUCCAAGGCUAAAUACUCCUGACUGACCGAUAGUGAACCAGUACCGUGAGGGAAAGGCGAAAAGAACCCCGGCGAGGGGAGUGAAAAAGAACCUGAAACCGUGUACGUACAAGCAGUGGGAGCACGCUUAGGCGUGUGACUGCGUACCUUUUGUAUAAUGGGUCAGCGACUUAUAUUCUGUAGCAAGGUUAACCGAAUAGGGGAGCCGAAGGGAAACCGAGUCUUAACUGGGCGUUAAGUUGCAGGGUAUAGACCCGAAACCCGGUGAUCUAGCCAUGGGCAGGUUGAAGGUUGGGUAACACUAACUGGAGGACCGAACCGACUAAUGUUGAAAAAUUAGCGGAUGACUUGUGGCUGGGGGUGAAAGGCCAAUCAAACCGGGAGAUAGCUGGUUCUCCCCGAAAGCUAUUUAGGUAGCGCCUCGUGAAUUCAUCUCCGGGGGUAGAGCACUGUUUCGGCAAGGGGGUCAUCCCGACUUACCAACCCGAUGCAAACUGCGAAUACCGGAGAAUGUUAUCACGGGAGACACACGGCGGGUGCUAACGUCCGUCGUGAAGAGGGAAACAACCCAGACCGCCAGCUAAGGUCCCAAAGUCAUGGUUAAGUGGGAAACGAUGUGGGAAGGCCCAGACAGCCAGGAUGUUGGCUUAGAAGCAGCCAUCAUUUAAAGAAAGCGUAAUAGCUCACUGGUCGAGUCGGCCUGCGCGGAAGAUGUAACGGGGCUAAACCAUGCACCGAAGCUGCGGCAGCGACGCUGAUGCGUUGUUGGGUAGGGGAGCGUUCUGUAAGCCUGCGAAGGUGUGCUGUGAGGCAUGCUGGAGGU